Molecule: ribosomal RNA, 253 nt
Filed under: uncultured bacterium
Lineage: Bacteria
Description: partial 16S ribosomal RNA
Rfam family: Bacterial small subunit ribosomal RNA
Source: RNAcentral
UACGUAGGGUGCGAGCGUUGUCCGGAAUUACUGGGCGUAAAGAGCUCGUAGGUGGUUUGUCACGUUGUUCGUGAAAACUCACAGCUUAACUGUGGGCUUGCGGGCGAUACGGGCAGACUGGAGUACUGCAGGGGAGACUGGAAUUCCUGGUGUAGCGGUGGAAUGCGCAGAUAUCAGGAGGAACACCGGUGGCGAAGGCGGGUCUCUGGGCAGUAACUGACGCUGAGGAGCGAAAGCGUGGGGAGCGAACAGG